GAGUUUGAUCCUGGCUCAGAUUGAACGCUGGCGGCAUGCCUUACACAUGCAAGUCGAACGGCAGCACGGGAGCUUGCUCCUGGUGGCGAGUGGCGAACGGGUGAGUAAUGCAUCGGAACGUAUCCUGGAGUGGGGGAUAACGUAGCGAAAGUUACGCUAAUACCGCAUAUUCUGUGAGCAGGAAAGCGGGGGACCUUCGGGCCUCGCGCUCUUGGAGCGGCCGAUGUCGGAUUAGCUAGUUGGUGAGGUAAAGGCUCACCAAGGCGACGAUCCGUAGCAGGUCUGAGAGGAUGAUCUGCCACACUGGAACUGAGACACGGUCCAGACUCCUACGGGAGGCAGCAGUGGGAAUUUUGGACAAUGGGGCAACCCGUGAUCCAG
Molecule: ribosomal RNA, 381 nt
Filed under: bacterium enrichment culture clone ALO1_GLFRUDD03GEIMF
Lineage: Bacteria
Description: bacterial SSU rRNA
Rfam family: Bacterial small subunit ribosomal RNA
Source: RNAcentral